CUUGUAAGAAACACCUCAUUCAAAGUUGUUAUGGAAACACCAUAAUCCUCAAUGCCUUGGUUAGAACAUCUAUCAAGAUCCCUGUAAAGUUCUAAAAGUGGAUACAAAAACAGAUUAUAAGAAUAUAAUUUAUAAUGAGAACCAUAUUUCUCAAAAAUGUAAAAUAUUGGUAAUAGGCCAAAUGUACUAAUCAGAAACAAAAUUGUGAUACAGAUGAUCUCAUUUCUAAAAUGAUCCAUAUAGUAUGUUACUUUUCAUGUCUUUUUGAGAUCAAAGUCUAAUCUAAACAUUUAUUUUUUCACUCUUAGGAAACUACCUAUGUGUUUUUUGAAAAACAUAUUUUAAUAUAUUUUUUAAAAUUUAUUUUUGUUAUAUUACAGGGAGUGUUUAAUUCUCAAUUUCAACUAAUUAAAAAAAUAUUUUCCA
RNAcentral lists this long non-coding RNA (426 nucleotides) under Homo sapiens (human). RNAcentral describes it as "ABCA9 antisense RNA 1". Lineage: Eukaryota; Metazoa; Chordata; Mammalia; Primates; Hominidae. The record is from RNAcentral.